RNAcentral lists this transfer RNA (65 nucleotides) under Camelus bactrianus (Bactrian camel). It matches the Rfam family "tRNA". From Rfam's summary of the family: Transfer RNA (tRNA) molecules are approximately 80 nucleotides in length. Their secondary structure includes four short double-helical elements and three loops (D, anti-codon, and T loops). The record is from Rfam by way of RNAcentral. RNAcentral also lists the same sequence under 2 other names. Lineage: Eukaryota; Metazoa; Chordata; Mammalia; Artiodactyla; Camelidae.
GGUAUAGGUCAGUGGUGGAGUGUGUGCUUAGCAUGCAUGAGGUCCUGGGUUCAAUCCCCAGUACC